Molecule: non-coding RNA, 220 nt
Organism: Paramuricea clavata
Lineage: Eukaryota; Metazoa; Cnidaria; Anthozoa; Malacalcyonacea; Plexauridae
Source: the annotation of a GenBank genome assembly
CAAUAAACGAAUGGUUACACCAGUUCAAACUUCCCAUAUGGUCAAACCACGGGACGUUCCCAUAUUAGAUUAUCGAAUUCGUCGAUACACAUGCCUGAUAUCAACAAUCAGUUAUUCAUUUCAACGAUAAAUAACAGCAUUCGAACUAGCAUUGCCGCCUACGAGCGGGUCAUUACUCAUUAGUAUGAAUUAUUAAGCCUAUACUGUUAUUGAACAAUGG